CUACGGGGGGCUCCAGUAGAGAAUCUUCCGCAAUGGACGAAAGUCUGACGGAGCGACACCGCGUGAAGGAUGAAGGCCCUCGGGUUGUAAACUUCUUUUCUGGGGGAAGAAAAUUUGACGGUACCCCAGGAAUAAGGUCCGGCUAAUUACGUGCCAGCAGCCGCGGUAAUACGUAAGGGCCAAACGUUAUCCGGAAUUAUUGGGCGUAAAGCGUCCGCAGGUGGCGUAGUAAGUCUAUCAUUAAAUACCGGUGCUUAAAAUCGGUGCUGUGGUGGAAACUACUACUGCUUGAGGAUGGGAGAGGUAUAUGGAAUUGUGCAAGUAGGGGUAAAAUCCGUAGAUAUGCACAGGAACACCAAAAGCGAAGGCAGUAUACUGGACCAUUCCUGACACUCAGGGACGAAAGCGUGGGUAGCAAAAGGGAUUAGAUACCCCCGUAGUC
RNAcentral lists this ribosomal RNA (442 nucleotides) under uncultured bacterium. RNAcentral's name for it is "partial 16S ribosomal RNA". It matches the Rfam family "Bacterial small subunit ribosomal RNA", at positions 339 to 795 of the family's 1533-position model. The record is from RNAcentral.